AGCUCCAAUAGCGUAUAUUAAAGCUGUUGCGGUUAAAAAGCUCGUAGUUGGAUUUCUGUCAAGGACAACUGGUCCGCCCUCCGGGUGAGCACAUAGUUUGGUCUUGGCAUCUUGCUGGAAACUGUUGCUGCGCUUGGUUGUGUGGUGCAGCUUUCAGCACUUUCACUUUGAGGAAAUUGGAGUGUUUCAAGCAGGCACAUGCCUUUGGACACAGUAGCAUGGAAUAAUUAGAUUGGGCUUUUGCUCCAACUUGUUGGUUCCUGGAGCUGAGGUGAGAAUCAAUGGGGAUUGUUGGGGGCAUCCGAAUUUAGCCGUCAGAGGUGAAAUUCUUGGAUCUGCUAAAGACGGACAACUGCGAAAGCGUUUGCCCAGGAUGUUUUCAU
This 383-nucleotide ribosomal RNA is filed under the name uncultured eukaryote. Its description in RNAcentral is "SSU rRNA". It matches the Rfam family "Eukaryotic small subunit ribosomal RNA", at positions 587 to 973 of the family's 1831-position model. The record is from RNAcentral.